Non-coding RNA from Myotis davidii, 106 nucleotides. Lineage: Eukaryota; Metazoa; Chordata; Mammalia; Chiroptera; Vespertilionidae. The record is from Rfam.
GGAUCGAUGAUGAUUCCACCCAAAAAAAACAAACCAACAUUCCUUGGAGCUGAACAAAAUGAGUGAGAACUACAACCGUCGUCGUUCUCAUCGGAAACUGAGGUCC